ACCAGUUUUACCUCACUAGCCGGUCACGGUCCAAUAGUGACCAACUGCAGCCGGUGGACAAGUCCCUGUAAGAUGUGUUCUAUCUACUACCAGCAAACUGUUCCAUACGAAGUAGAGUUUGUAGCUGAUACGUAUCUCUCACUCCAGCCUCUAGUAUAUUAGUAUAGAGUACUCUUGUGUAUAAGGUAUAAGAUGAGGGAGCUCUUUGGUUAUAAUUCUGAGGUUUCUUCUUUCUCUUGGUUUUAUGGAGAGGAGCAAAAACCAUCAUUUUUUUUGUUUUUUUACCUACGCAGAUCGAUGUUCUAUAUGUCUAUAUGAAGACCAUGGCUUUUAGCUCCAAAUUUGAAGAACUAAGGGGGAGAUUAGUAAUCUAUCAUUGAUGUGUACAGAUAGUUUAUGAGGGAGAUCGAGAUUAUGUUGACAGAAGAGAGUGAGCACAACCCGGCAUUGGUGAAAGAGAGCUUUGUCACUGUUGGGAGUGUGCCACUCUUCUUCUGUCAGCAUCAUCAUCUACACUUGAUUCCCUCUUUAAUCAUCUCGAUCACCAGCACGAUAUGAUCGAUCUUCAUCCAACACAUAAUGUGAAGUCUUCUCAAGCUCUUACGUUAUUCUUAUUUAUGCUCUAUAUAUGUAUGUCUUUAUAUACAAUGACUCAAGUUAUAUUACCUCAAUUCUCUAUCUGUUACCAAAGAAUUACAUUAUAUUAUGGAUGGAUGGAAUUUCGAACGCCUGUGGUACUAUGUGGAUGUUUGUUCAAGUGAUAGACAUGUUAAUGUGCAAAUGACAUGCAUGUUUGUACACACCUGUAUGCAUGUCAUAUGAUCUAUGAGCUUUUGUGCUCUGUGUCUCGUUCUAAAGAGAUUCAUGGUUUCCAGUGCGGGGAGGAUAUGAAUAUAUGAUUGAUCCGUGGAUGGUUUAUGAGGAAUUAUGUUGACAGAAGAGAGGGAGCACAACCCGGCAUUGGCGGAAGAGAGCUUUGUCACUGUUGGGAGUGUGCCCUUUCUUCUUCUGUCAUCAUCACUUAACAGUAACUCCCAUCACUAAUCAUGUCUGCAGCACCAUCUGAUCUUCAUCAGACCAAAUGUUAAAUCUUCUCAUGAUCUCAUGAUCUCAUCCAAUAUAGCUCCAUAAAAUAGUUGCCAAGGAAAUAGAAAGUAUGAAAAAGAGACCUGGCAAAAGACUAAGAGGAUGCCAAUUAUCAGAGUUGUGAUGCAUUCGAAGAAAAAUAAAUCAAAGAGGCAGCGGCUGUGGAAAAUUGAAGCAAGUAUACGUCAACUGUGGAGAACUGUACAGAGGAAAUUUAUCCUUUCAAGAUUAUUGAGAUUAUCAGAGUUGUGAUGCAUUCGAGGAAGGAAAAUAAAUCAAAGAGGCAGCAGCUGUGGAAAAUUGAAGCAAGUAUGUGUCAACUGUAGAGAAUUACUGUACAGAGGAAGUUUGACUUUUCAAGAUUAUUGAGCAGAAGUUGAUGAUCUGGUAUCCACACUGUCAUCAAGUAGAAAGUUACAGCUUACCAGGAAAAUGUCCUUUCUCAUGUAUGUGUCUUGAAAAAAGAGCCCACGCAGGGUUUGGUUUUGGUAUUUUUGUUGCAGACAAUUUAAGCGUAUAAGAAUUCUGUGAUUGUCAAAAAAACAAAA
Rosa chinensis is the source of this 1634-nucleotide long non-coding RNA. RefSeq lists it as uncharacterized. The record is from RefSeq and is a predicted model, not a curated record. NCBI's taxonomy places the organism in Eukaryota, Viridiplantae, Streptophyta, Magnoliopsida, Rosales, Rosaceae. The transcript is spliced from 3 exons.